Molecule: ribosomal RNA, 301 nt
Filed under: uncultured bacterium
Lineage: Bacteria
Description: partial 16S ribosomal RNA
Rfam family: Bacterial small subunit ribosomal RNA
Source: RNAcentral
CAGCAGCACGGUAAAACAGAGGGUGCGAGCGUUAAUCGGAUUUACUGGGCGUAAAGCGUGCGUAGGCGGCUUUUUAAGUCGGAUGUGAAAUCCCUGAGCUUAACUUAGGAAUUGCAUUCGAUACUGGGAAGCUAGAGUAUGGGAGAGGAUGGUAGAAUUCCAGGUGUAGCGGUGAAAUGCGUAGAGAUCUGGAGGAAUACCGAUGGCGAAGGCAGCCAUCUGGCCUAAUACUGACGCUGAGGUACGAAAGCAUGGGGAGCAAACAGGAUUAGAUACCCGAGUAGUCCCUGUCUCUUAUACA